GGGGGUAUAGCUCAGGGGUAGAGCAAUUAACUGCAGAUCAAGAGGUCCCGGGUGCCCCCU
Xenopus tropicalis (tropical clawed frog) is the source of this 60-nucleotide non-coding RNA. Lineage: Eukaryota; Metazoa; Chordata; Amphibia; Anura; Pipidae. The record is from Rfam.